AACGAACGCUGGCGGCAGGCUUAACACAUGCAAGUCGAACGCCCCGCAAGGGGGAGUGGCAGACGGGUGAGUAACACGUGGGAACAUACCCUUCGGUUCGGAACAACGUUUGGAAACGAACGCUAAUACCGGAUACGGCUUACGAGCGAAAGAUUCAUCGCCGAAGGAUUGGCCCGCGUUCGAUUAGCUUGUUGGUGAGGUAACGGCUCACCAAGGCGACGAUCGAUAGCUGGUCUGAGAGGAUGGCCAGCCACAUUGGGACUGAGACACGGCCCAAACUCCUACGGGAGGCAGCAGUGGGGAAUAUUGGACAAUGGGCGCAAGCCUGAUCCAGCCAUGCCGCGUGAGUGAUGACGGCCUUAGGGUUGUAAAGCUCUUUCGCACGCGACGAUAAUGACGGUAGCGUGAGAAGAAGCCCGGCUAACUUCGUGCCAGCCGCCGCCGUAAC
RNAcentral lists this ribosomal RNA (448 nucleotides) under uncultured bacterium. RNAcentral describes it as "bacterial SSU rRNA". It matches the Rfam family "Bacterial small subunit ribosomal RNA", at positions 29 to 524 of the family's 1533-position model. The record is from RNAcentral.